RNAcentral lists this ribosomal RNA (209 nucleotides) under uncultured bacterium. Its description in RNAcentral is "partial 16S ribosomal RNA". It matches the Rfam family "Bacterial small subunit ribosomal RNA", at positions 111 to 334 of the family's 1533-position model. The record is from RNAcentral.
UAACGCGUAGGAACCUGUCGCACAUGGGGGAUAACGCUGGGAAACCGGCGCUAAUACCGCAUGUGGUCAGAGAUGAAGAAAGCAGCAAUGCGCUGUGUGAGGGGCCUGCGUCCGAUUAGCUGGUUGGUGGGGUAAUGGCCUACCAAGGCGAUGAUCGUUAGCUGGUCUGAGAGGAUGGUCAGCCACACUGGGACUGAGACACGGCCCAG